GACGAACGCUGGCGGCGUGCUUAACACAUGCAAGUCGAACGGAAAGGCCCUGCUUUUGUGGGGUGCUCGAGUGGCGAACGGGUGAGUAACACGUGAGUAACCUGCCCUUGACUUUGGGAUAACUUCAGGAAACUGGGGCUAAUACCGGAUAGGAGCUCCUGCUGCAUGGGGGGGGUUGGAAAGUUUCGGCGGUUGGGGAUGGACUCGCGGCUUAUCAGCUUGUUGGUGGGGUAGUGGCUUACCAAGGCUUUGACGGGUAGCCGGCCUGAGAGGGUGACCGGCCACAUUGGGACUGAGAUACGGCCCAGACUCCUACGGGAGGCAGCAGUGGGGAAUAUUGCACAAUGGGCGGAAGCCUGAUGCAGCAACGCCGCGUGCGGGAUGACGGCCUUCGGGUUGUAAACCGCUUUCGCCUGUGACGAAGCGUGAGUGACGGUAAUGGGUAAAGAAGCACCGGCUAACUACGCG
This 468-nucleotide ribosomal RNA is filed under the name uncultured bacterium. RNAcentral describes it as "partial 16S ribosomal RNA". It matches the Rfam family "Bacterial small subunit ribosomal RNA", at positions 28 to 507 of the family's 1533-position model. The record is from RNAcentral.